This 1449-nucleotide long non-coding RNA is filed under the name Felis catus (domestic cat). Its description in RNAcentral is "lncRNA (ENSFCAG00000052481.1)". The record is from RNAcentral. Lineage: Eukaryota; Metazoa; Chordata; Mammalia; Carnivora; Felidae.
UAUGCAGAUGUUCUUUAUUCAUCAUCACCAGUAACUGGAAACCCGCUCUCCUUGAAGCACCUGUUGGUGAGCGUCCGUGGGAUGUUGCCACCAGUAACUGGACACCUGCUCGCCUUGAAGCACCUGUAGCUCAUGGUGGGCGUCGGCAAGGACAGGACCGCAUUCCUGGAUGACAAGGACCCUUGGCAGGUGCAGCGCUAGAUUCACAGCGACGGGGUCUCCUGAGCUGCCUUCCGUACCAUCGAAGAGCACACCUGGCAGCAGAUUUGCAUCCUGGGCCUCCACCUGUUGGAACCGCCGGCCCUCGGGGUCCAGCUCCCCCGCCACUCCCCUGGCUCCUCUCCAGUCGUCCAUGUCGGAGACCCUCGCUCCUGUGACCCUUCCUCUCCAGUCGUCCACGUCGGAGACCCUGGCUCGUGUGGCCCUUACACCGGUCGACUCACCCCGGAAGGAAUCGCUCGAGUGGGGCCGAGGGCCGAGGGGCGGGCAUCGGGAGCGCCUCCCGCAAAGCGCUGAGGCGCCGGCAGCGAGGUGGCGUCAGCCAAAGCGGGGACCCCUUGAUGCUUUGACGGGGAGCACGCGAAAGUGUGGCGUCCCAACGCAGAAGAGACUUAACGUCCCUGGAGCAAAUCAAGAUGGCGUUCCAGACGUUGACACGACGCAGGAGGGAUGGCGGGGAGGCCGCGGGGCGUUCGCGAUAUCGUUACCGUGAAAUUUUCCGAAGGUCAACCACGGCCACGUCUUCCUGCUGAUAGUCGACCACGGCCACAUCUUCCUGAUGAUAGGUCAACCCCAUCCACGCUUUCUUGAUGACCUCCCAGCACGUCCAGCGUAAUCCUCAUCCAGAACUAGUCAAAGACCGUAGGAGAGAAACAAAUUGAACUAUAAAUCAAUAUCUUACAUGAGCGCACAAAGCAAAAAUCCUCUGGCCUGUGCCAUUUUCUGGUGAGAAAUCCACUGUUACUCUUAUCUUUGUUUCUCUGUACAGGUCUUUUUUUCAAACUUGUUGUCUUUCCAUGGGUUUUCAGGAAUUUGAUUAUAAAUCCAGCAAUAUAUGAAAACAUAAUGCAUAUAGACCAAGUGGAGUGUCACCCAGCAUUGCAGGAAAAUUUGAUUUUCAUAAAUCUUUCAGGCAGGCCAAUGUGAAGAAAGGACUAGACUUAUCUUUCCACAGUAAACAACUGGAAAACAGGAUGAAAAUAUAUGAAACAGUAGUUUUCGGGUGGUGGACAGGAGGCAGUGGGCCCUGAUUACCAAGAGGACAGUAAUUGUGCCAGCUUCCUUCCUGGGGCCAGUUUCCUGGCUGCAUCACCGGGAAGAGAAACCCAGUGGUGGUCUCGCUACGGUGAGAGACAACAGAGCUGUGGUGUGGAUGGACCUGUGCACACAGGAGUGGAAACGACUCUUCAUUCUUUUGCUGCCAUCCGCCAUCAUUUGGCAGAAGCAGAG